Molecule: ribosomal RNA, 460 nt
Filed under: uncultured bacterium
Lineage: Bacteria
Description: partial 16S ribosomal RNA
Rfam family: Bacterial small subunit ribosomal RNA
Source: RNAcentral
CCUACGGGUGGCAGCAGUGAGGAAUAUUGGACAAUGGACGCAAGUCUGAACCAGCCAUGCCGCGUGCAUGAAGACGGCUCUCUGAGUUGUAAACUGCUUUUGUACGAAGGUAAACGCAGAUACGUUGAUCUGUCUGAAAGUAUCGUACGCAUAAGGAUCGGCUAACUCCGUGCCAGCAGCCGCGGUAAUACGGAGGAUUCAAGCGUUAUCCGGAUUUAUUGGGUGUAAAGGGUGCGUAGGCGGUCGGAUAAGUUAGAAGUGAAAUCCCGGGGCUCAACUUCGGAAUUGCCUCUGAUACUGUUCGGCUAGAGAGUAGUUGCGGUAGGCGGAAUGUAUGGUGUAGCGGUGAAAUGCUUAGAGAUCAUACGGAACACCGAUGGCGAAGGCAGCUUACCAAGCUACUUCUGACGUUGAGGCACGAAAGCGUGGGGAGCAAACAGGAUUAGAUACCCGGGUAGUC